This 95-nucleotide small nuclear RNA is filed under the name Nicotiana sylvestris (wood tobacco). Lineage: Eukaryota; Viridiplantae; Streptophyta; Magnoliopsida; Solanales; Solanaceae. RNAcentral also lists the same sequence under 1 other name. The record is from RNAcentral.
GUUCCUUUGGAAACAUUUGAUUAAAUUGGAACGGUAUAGAGAAGAUGCAUGGCCCAAGGAUAAUAUGGACAAAUCGAGAAGAUCUUAAUAAAUUU